Molecule: non-coding RNA, 119 nt
Filed under: Sporomusa sphaeroides
Lineage: Bacteria; Bacillati; Bacillota; Negativicutes; Selenomonadales; Sporomusaceae
Also listed under: 1 other name
Description: MoCo sequence
Rfam family: Molybdenum/Tungsten riboswitch aptamer (Moco RNA motif)
Source: RNAcentral
AAUAAAUAUUUUCUUCGAGUCUGUGAAUCUAAGGCUGAAAAGCUAAGAUAGCUGACCGAUAGGGUAUUCCAGGAAACUGGAGCGCCUUCCUUGUGAAAAGAAGAAGCUUACACCGCCAA